GUGGGGAAUCUUAGACAAUGGGGGCAACCCUGAUCUAGCCAUGCCGCGUGAGUGAUGAAGGCCUUAGGGUUGUAAAGCUCUUUCAGCUGUGAAGAUAAUGACGGUAGCAGCAGAAGAAGUCCCGGCUAACUCCGUGCCAGCAGCCGCGGUAAUACGGAGGGGACUAGCGUUGUUCGGAAUUACUGGGCGUAAAGCGCACGUAGGCGGAUCGGAAAGUUGGGGGUGAAAUCCCGGGGCUCAACCCCGGAACUGCCUUCAAAACUAUCGGUCUGGAGUUCGAGAGAGGUGAGUGGAAUUCCGAGUGUAGAGGUGAAAUUCGUAGAUAUUCGGAGGAACACCAGUGGCGAAGGCGGCUCACUGGCUCGAUACUGACGCUGAGGUGCGAAAGCGUGGGGAGCAAACAGGAUUAGAAACCCUAGUAGUCC
Molecule: ribosomal RNA, 425 nt
Filed under: uncultured bacterium
Lineage: Bacteria
Description: bacterial SSU rRNA
Rfam family: Bacterial small subunit ribosomal RNA
Source: RNAcentral